Molecule: unclassified non-coding RNA, 19 nt
Filed under: synthetic construct
Source: RNAcentral
AUAACAUGCUGCUGGAUAA